Cinara cedri is the source of this 354-nucleotide non-coding RNA. NCBI's taxonomy places the organism in Eukaryota, Metazoa, Arthropoda, Insecta, Hemiptera, Aphididae. The record is from the annotation of a GenBank genome assembly.
AGAACAAUCUCCCAGCGAUUACAAAAGGACAAGGAGUACGAUUAGGCCAUACCAAUGCGAUACUGGCUUUUCUCGUAAAAAGUAUAUUAUAAUGUUAGAUCAACGCUAGAGUGAAAAUCUCGGGGGAACAGAGUUCGUGACAGACCCGUGAUAAGAUGGAUGGAUGUCCUCGAAAAGAAAUAUUUUAGAGAUUUGGCUGUGAAAGACUAAAACAGGCGUGAUCCAAGACUGUGGUAUCGACAGCGUGAAGUUGUUAAGGCUGAAAGAAAACUCUAAUUUUAUAUAGGUACACGAUAGGAGGGGAGGGAAGGAUAAGGGUUUCCGAGUGGUUUUUCGGGAUAGUCAGUUACUAAA